This 491-nucleotide ribosomal RNA is filed under the name uncultured bacterium. Its description in RNAcentral is "partial 16S ribosomal RNA". It matches the Rfam family "Bacterial small subunit ribosomal RNA", at positions 30 to 506 of the family's 1533-position model. The record is from RNAcentral.
CGAACGCUGGCGGCGUGCUUAACACAUGCAAGUCGAACGGUGAAGCGCCUUCCUUUUUGGUGGGUGUGGAUGAGUGGCGAACGGGUGAGUAACACGUGAGUAACCUGCCCCCUUCUUCUGGAUAACCGCAUGAAAGUGUGGCUAAUACGGGAUAUUCUGGGUCUGUCGCAUGAUGGGUCUGGGAAAGAUAUUGUUUCGGUGGGGGAUGGGCUCGCGGCCUAUCAGCUUGUUGGUGGGGUGAUGGCCUACCAAGGCGGUGACGGGUAGCCGGCCUGAGAGGGUGGACGGUCACACUGGGACUGAGACACGGCCCAGACUCCUACGGGAGGCAGCAGUGGGGAAUAUUGCACAAUGGGCGCAAGCCUGAUGCAGCGACGCCGCGUGAGGGAUGGAGGCCUUCGGGUUGUGAACCCCUUUCGCCAGUGAAGCAGGCCUGCCUCGUUUGUGGGUGGGUUGACGGUAGCUGGAUAAGAAGCGCCGGCUAACUACGU